UUGCACGCUGGCGGCAGGCCUAACACAUGCCAGUCGAGCGGAUGAAGGGAGCUUGCUCCUGGAUUCAGCGGCGGACGGGUGAGUAAUGCCUAGGAAUCUGCCUGGUAGUGGGGGAUAACGUCCGGAAACGGGCGCUAAUACCGCAUACGUCCUGAGGGAGAAAGUGGGGGAUCUUCGGACCUCACGCUAUCAGAUGAGCCUAGGUCGGAUUAGCUAGUUGGUGGGGUAAAGGCCUACCAAGGCGACGAUCCGUAACUGGUCUGAGAGGAUGAUCAGUCACACUGGAACUGAGACACGGUCCAGACUCCUACGGGAGGCAGCAGUGGGGAAUAUUGGACAAAGGGCGAAAGCCUGAUCCAGCCAUGCCGCGUGUGUGAAGAAGGUCUUCGGAUUGUAAAGCACUUUAAGUUGGGAGGAAGGGCAGUAAGUUAAUACCUUGCUGUUUUGACGUUACCAACAGAAUAAGCACCGGCUAACUUCGUG
RNAcentral lists this ribosomal RNA (483 nucleotides) under uncultured bacterium. RNAcentral's name for it is "partial 16S ribosomal RNA". It matches the Rfam family "Bacterial small subunit ribosomal RNA", at positions 30 to 507 of the family's 1533-position model. The record is from RNAcentral.